UUAGGGGAGACCACCACAAGCCAAAGAGAUGCAACAUCUUUGUUGGAUGGCAAAGCAUCAUCUACAGGUACUGGUGUGAGAGCUAGAGAGGAAUGUAGAAGUAGAUUCCGGCAAGUUGCCGAAAGUUCUCAUUUAGAUAUACCCAGAGUAGCGGAAGAUGGACUUCAUGGUGAUCAAAUUCUGGAUAAGGAUCGCGAUAGAAGUGCCAGUAGGCAUAUGCAUGGGGAUGAACGUUGGACAGAUGAAGAGCCACCUGAUUCUAUGGCUAUGGAUGAUGAUAAUUGUCAGGCAGAUGGAGAUGGCGAAGAAAGAUGGCAUAUUAGAGAUUUACGUGACGGAAAGGCAAAGCCUGGUAACAGAUCCGUAAGGGAAGACGAAUAUGAUGAGAGUGCUAGAGAUGAGUUGUCAAGACGCAGGGUGAAUCGUGGGUGGACAAGACACAGAGGACGGGGAAGGGUGACUGAGGGUGUUCCGGAUAAUGAAGCAGCUUUGACCUCUCCAGGGUCUGCUAGUAGAUUGAGUGGGCAAUCUCGCAGUAGAAAUUUAAACCGGAAUCAAGAGUUGAGAAGAGCACCUGAUAACAAGAAGAAUUUGAGUAGGACAAAUGUUGAUGGUUUUGGGAUGGAG
Molecule: unclassified non-coding RNA, 627 nt
Filed under: Hevea brasiliensis (rubber tree)
Lineage: Eukaryota; Viridiplantae; Streptophyta; Magnoliopsida; Malpighiales; Euphorbiaceae
Source: RNAcentral